GACGAACGCUGGCGGCGUGCUUAACACAUGCAAGUCGAGCGGAAAGGCCCUUCGGGGUACUCGAGCGGCGAACGGGUGAGUAACACGUGAGUAACCUGCCCCAGACUUUGGGAUAACCCUCGGAAACGGGGGCUAAUACCGGAUACGACACAGCUUCGCAUGGGGUCUGUGUGGAAAGUUUUUCGGUUUGGGAUGGGCUCGCGGCCUAUCAGCUUGUUGGUGGGGUGAUGGCCUACCAAGGCGACGACGGGUAGCCGGCCUGAGAGGGCGACCGGCCACACUGGGCCUGAGAAACGGCCCAGACUCCUACGGGAGGCAGCAGUGGGGAAUAUUGCACAAUGGGCGGAAGCCUGAUGCAGCGACGCCGCGUGAGGGAUGACGGCCUUCGGGUUGUAAACCUCUUUCAGCAGGGACGAAGCGUAAGUGACGGUACCUGCAGAAGAAGCGCCGGCCAACUACGUG
RNAcentral lists this ribosomal RNA (462 nucleotides) under uncultured bacterium. Its description in RNAcentral is "partial 16S ribosomal RNA". It matches the Rfam family "Bacterial small subunit ribosomal RNA", at positions 28 to 507 of the family's 1533-position model. The record is from RNAcentral.